UGACCAGCGAUAUGCCAAUGCUGCUGACCCCAGCAAUCAGCCGACCGCAUUCCAUUCCACGAGUUGUUGCUGGAUGGACAAACACACGGUCGGAGGACAUAGGCUUGAUCCAGGCUACUGGCGAUCUACCGCCACCACAACUGACAGCUCAUUUUUCUUCAUUGCGUCGCCUUCAAUAUAUUUUUGUUCUUUUCUUGGCGCUUUCACUCUUAAUGACAUUAAAAUUAAAAUGUGUUAUUUGAUAAAGACCAUAAAAUGCGAGAGAGAUAAGUGAGCAAAGCAAGGAUGUAACGAUGCUGCAAAGGAGAAAUGUUUAAAGCCUCAAGCAUUUCGAAAAUAAUUUCAUGGAUAUUUCUUCGGUACCCAACUUUUGAGCCUAUAAAUACCACUUUUUCGUUUUUGAGACUGACUGCAGCACAAAGUCAUGGAACGACAUAUAAUCCGGAAACGAUUUCGAUACUAGCAAAAGGCACUAUUUUUGGGGACCCACCAGUCGUCUAUUUCUGAUUUGAAACAAAGUAAAGGGUGAUCCUAGUAGAGGUAAAGGUA
Molecule: long non-coding RNA, 549 nt
Organism: Bactrocera neohumeralis
Lineage: Eukaryota; Metazoa; Arthropoda; Insecta; Diptera; Tephritidae
Exons: 3
Source: RefSeq, a predicted model, not a curated record